This is a long non-coding RNA of Rhodamnia argentea, 280 nucleotides long. RefSeq lists it as uncharacterized. NCBI's taxonomy places the organism in Eukaryota, Viridiplantae, Streptophyta, Magnoliopsida, Myrtales, Myrtaceae. The transcript has 2 exons. The record is from RefSeq and is a predicted model, not a curated record.
UCAAUCAAAUACAUCAUGGCCUUGCCCUCUUGCAAUCGUUGCUCCGGACAAGCCUCUCCAGUUUGCAUUUACUUAGACACUGGAUUGGGAAUUAUAAGGGUGCGUAUGACCCUAAUUGUCUCCAAAUGGUGUGAUGCAUCAAACAAGAACUUUUUCCGAGUUCAAUUUCUCCGGAUCGACUUCAACACUGGUGCUAAUGCCGCUUCCUUUGUACUUAUACCACCUAGCACAUACUAUGAAGUAGCCUAAGUUCAAUGCCUGCAAUACACCAACCAGAUAA